CCUACGGGAGGCAGCAGUGGGGAAUAUUGCACAAUGGGCGAAACCCUGAUGCAGCGACGCCGCGUGAGUGAAGAAGUCUUUCGGUAUGUAAAGCUCUAUCAGCAGGGAAGAAAAUGACGGUACCUGACUCAGAAGCCCGGGCUAACUACGAGCCAGCAGCCGCGGUAAUACGUAGGGGGCAAGCGUUAGCCGGAUUUACUGGGUGUAAAGGGAGCGUAGACGGCCAGACAAGUCAGAAGUGAAAGCCGAGGGCUCAACCCUGGGACUGCUGUUGAAACUGCCGGGCUGGAGUGCAGGAGAGGGAAGCGGAAUUCGUGGUGUAGCGGUGAAAUGCGUAGAUAUUAGGAAGAACCCCGGUGGCGAAGGCGGCUUACUGGACUGUUACUGACGUUGAGGCUCGAAAGCGUGGGGAGCAAACAGGAUUAGAUACCCUAGUAGUC
This 440-nucleotide ribosomal RNA is filed under the name uncultured bacterium. Its description in RNAcentral is "partial 16S ribosomal RNA". It matches the Rfam family "Bacterial small subunit ribosomal RNA", at positions 338 to 795 of the family's 1533-position model. The record is from RNAcentral.